Long non-coding RNA from Varroa destructor (honeybee mite), 1112 nucleotides. NCBI's taxonomy places the organism in Eukaryota, Metazoa, Arthropoda, Arachnida, Mesostigmata, Varroidae. The record is from RefSeq and is a predicted model, not a curated record.
ACGACGAUACUCCACCAGCUAAUGGCAAUAUCAAAGGUGCAUACAAAAUGGGCUGAGAGACUCUUCGUCCAGCCUAUCCACGGCGUCUGGUAUUCGCAGCUUGCGUAUGACGGUGACGGCGCGGAUCGGUGGCCGCGUACGGGCCAGUGACACCACUGCCACUGAACGAUACUCGACGUUGGCAGGAGUUGGGCUUAUACUAAGUAUAUUCACUACGAAGUUCGUGCUUACGAAUCCGUCCCGUUACCGGAUAUUCCAUUCCCCAAUUGGUCCAUGUAUGUGUAUGCAUGAACGUUUUCCUGUGCAGUUUGUAGCGGUACGAGUUAUAUAUACGCUACGAAAAAGCGUCCACAGUCAAAACCAUACGCAUCAUCCUCGCGUGACCCAGCUAACGUCAAUGAAGCCGUCUAUGGUGGCACAAAAAAAAACUGACGCUGGCUGCUGGGCAAAGACUGCGCUUAAGACCGGGACACCAGUGGAAAGUGUUAAUGCACCGAUAGAUGUAGCAGGACAUUGAUGAUUCUAUCGCUUUUACGCUUAAAGUAUCAACUGCUAGUUGGCCUAUGGAUAAACUUGAUGGCUUCUCAGGAGAGACGUUCUAGGAAAAUUUCUUAUCGAUACUCAGCCUUACGAAUUUCGUAACGAGAGGACGUUGAAGCGGAAAACGGCAAUUGCCAACACACAGCAGGAACCAUCGGCAAAAUUGGACGUAUCGAUGACUUCGACGAACGCUGUCGCACAUGGUGUACACAGGUGGAAUUUCUUCUAUAAUACAAUCUGCAUAGCCAUUGUGGCGGACCCCCUGUCGGCAGAUGCAUCACCGGCUUGCUAUCUACUCCAUUGUAAAUAGCCUAUAUAUAACAUCGUAAUUUAGAAACGAGCAGCUGAUACCGCGAUGAAAGUAAGCCAGUAUCAGGCGUCCAGUACUCGUGAUGAUGCAGAACUAACGUACUAAACAUAAAAACACGUGAACUUGUCUAGAUCGCAAGCUUGACGUUAACAAACAUGCUUUGUUUCCAACGGAACGGGAACGGCCAAUUUUCUGACGCACUAAUGUUUACGUAAGCCAUUAAUACCUGACAGUAAAUUGUACGUCUAUCAGCUUGUGUAGA